GCAUAUCAAUAAGCGGAGGAAAAGAAACCAACAGGGAUUGCCUCAGUAACGGCGAGUGAAGCGGCAACAGCUCAAAUUUGAAAUCUGGCCGCAAGGUCCGAGUUGUAAUUUGUAGAGGAUGCUUUUGGCGAGGUGACUUCCGAGUUCCCUGGAACGGGACGCCAUAGAGGGUGAGAGCCCCGUACGGUCGUGCCACCGAGCCUCUGUAAAGCUCCUUCGACGAGUCGAGUAGUUUGGGAAUGCUGCUCUAAAUGGGAGGUGUACGUCUUCUAAAGCUAAAUACCGGCCAGAGACCGAUAGCGCACAAGUAGAGUGAUCGAAAGAUGAAAAGCACUUUGAAAAGAGGGUUAAAAAGUACGUGAAAUUGUUGAAAGGGAAGCAUUCAUGACCAGACUUGGGCUUGGUUGAACAUCCGGCGUUCUCGCCGGUGCACUCUGCCAGCUCAGGCCAGCAUCAGUUUGCCCCGGGGGACAAAGGCGGCGGGAAUGUGGCUCCCUACGGGGAGUGUUAUAGCCCGUCGUGUAAUGCCCUGGGGUGGACUGAGGUUCGCGCUUCGGCACGG
This 562-nucleotide small RNA is filed under the name Sarocladium terricola. RNAcentral's name for it is "eukaryotic LSU rRNA". It matches the Rfam family "Eukaryotic large subunit ribosomal RNA", at positions 38 to 610 of the family's 3401-position model. Lineage: Eukaryota; Fungi; Ascomycota; Sordariomycetes; Hypocreales; Sarocladiaceae. The record is from RNAcentral.